AUUAUGGUAAAAAAAUGAAUAAAUUUGCUUCCCGCGGUUGUCUUUCCUGAGGUUUUAUCGUAAACGUCGUUAUCGUAUACCUUCGUACCUCUUCGUAGACUUUGUGAACCAUCGUAAGACGCUCGUAAUGUUUCGUAAUGUCUCGCAAUGAUUUCCAUAGUCCUUUAAAAGCUCUAAUGUUAAAGUCAGUGAAAUGUGUUUGUGUUAACAUCGAUUUCUGCUGUUUAGAAAAUCGUUAAAUGGUUUCAGACUUUGUUACGCUUCUGUGUUUCUAAAAAUCGUGAAAAUAGUGAAAUUUUGUUUUUCGUGACUCGUGAAAUCGAAAAAUGAUCUUCGUGAUUUCGUGACGAGACCCCCC
Non-coding RNA from Paramuricea clavata, 358 nucleotides. The record is from the annotation of a GenBank genome assembly. NCBI's taxonomy places the organism in Eukaryota, Metazoa, Cnidaria, Anthozoa, Malacalcyonacea, Plexauridae.